Molecule: long non-coding RNA, 610 nt
Organism: Pomacea canaliculata
Lineage: Eukaryota; Metazoa; Mollusca; Gastropoda; Architaenioglossa; Ampullariidae
Exons: 3
Source: RefSeq, a predicted model, not a curated record
GAGAUAAGUUGGGAAGAAGAAUUACAAAACCUUAUGCGAGCGUUAAUGUUGAUGACGAAGGUCGUACAGAAAAAGAUCAGGUCGCCGAUCUUCCUAACUGUUGACGGGGAAAGACUCGGGCUCCAGCACACGAUAUAGUAGUCGCCCAAUACGACACGGCCAAUGUCCAAGAACAGGAGCACGAGACUACAGCAACCAUCACCACCAUGUAUCAGGUCGGAAAGAACGAGCGGCGGACAACCAGUUCGAAGUGCCUUUGAAGCCUCCCUAGCAUCAACCUAUGCUGCUAUUUACGUGAAAUCACUGCAAGGUCAAAGGUCUUUCACAGCAAACCACCAAGUAAGGGAUCGGCUUGAAGCUGAAGAGUGGGGGAGAGGGAUUACGUCAGCAUGGAGGAGGGGAUGAUCGUGAAAAUACAGAGAUCAUGGAAAUACUAUAUCAAUUCAAUUGUUUUAAUUACUAUAAUUCCUAAGAUGCUUACCUGUAAUGUCUUUCUGCUUAUCGUACAAAAUAACGAAUAGAAGAGCUAGUGCUUAUUAUAAAUGGCUAAAUUGUUUAUUAGAGAAAAGUGUUAAUAUUUAUACUGCAUGAAAUUAGUAAUAACAAUCGU